This 286-nucleotide ribosomal RNA is filed under the name uncultured Geobacillus sp. RNAcentral's name for it is "partial 16S ribosomal RNA". It matches the Rfam family "Bacterial small subunit ribosomal RNA", at positions 1097 to 1382 of the family's 1533-position model. Lineage: Bacteria; Bacillati; Bacillota; Bacilli; Caryophanales; Anoxybacillaceae. The record is from RNAcentral.
CGCAACCCUCGCCUCUAGUUGCCAGCAUUCGGUUGGGCACUCUAGAGGGACUGCCGGCGACAAGUCGGAGGAAGGUGGGGAUGACGUCAAAUCAUCAUGCCCCUUAUGACCUGGGCUACACACGUGCUACAAUGGGCGGUACAAAGGGCUGCGAACCCGCGAGGGGGAGCGAAUCCCAAAAAGCCGCUCUCAGUUCGGAUUGCAGGCUGCAACUCGCCUGCAUGAAGCCGGAAUCGCUAGUAAUCGCGGAUCAGCAUGCCCGCGGUCGAAUACGUUCCCGGGCCUU